RNAcentral lists this ribosomal RNA (468 nucleotides) under uncultured bacterium. RNAcentral describes it as "partial 16S ribosomal RNA". It matches the Rfam family "Bacterial small subunit ribosomal RNA", at positions 28 to 507 of the family's 1533-position model. The record is from RNAcentral.
GACGAACGCUGGCGGCGUGCUUAACACAUGCAAGUCGAACGGAAAGGCCCUGCUUUUGUGGGGUUCUCGAGUGGCGAACGGGUGAGUAACACGUGAGUAUCCUGCCCUUGACUUUGGGAUAACUUCAGGAAACUGGGGCUAAUACCGGAUAGGAGCUCCUGCUGCAUGGUGGGGGUUGGAAAGUUUCGGCGGUUGGGGAUGGACUCGCGGUUUAUCAGCUUGUUGGGGGGGUAGUGGCUUACCAAGGCUUUGACGGGUAGCCGGCCUGGGAGGGUGACCGGCCACAUUGGGACUGAGAUACGGACCAGACGGCUACGGGAGGCAGCAGGGGGAAAUAUUACACAAUGGGCGGAAGCCUGAUGCAGCAACGCCGCGUGCGGAAAGACGGCCUUCGGGUUGUAAACCGCUUUCGCCUGUGACGAAGCGUGAGUGACGGUAACGGGUAAAGAAGCACCGGCUAACUACGUG